AUGCUUCAUCAGCACAUAUACUAACAUUGAAAUGCUUACAGAGAAGAUUAACAAGGCUCCUGCCCAAGGAUGAAGCAUUCAUUUCUGUUUUACACCUUCAAUAA
This is a small nuclear RNA of Protopterus annectens (West African lungfish), 104 nucleotides long. The record is from RefSeq and is a predicted model, not a curated record. NCBI's taxonomy places the organism in Eukaryota, Metazoa, Chordata, Ceratodontiformes, Protopteridae.